GAUGGACGCUGGCGGCGUGCCUAAUACAUGCAAGUCGAGCGAACAGACGAGGAGCUUGCUCCCCUGACGUUAGCGGCGGACGGGUGAGUAACACGUGGAUAACCUACCUAUAAGACUGGGAUAACUUCGGGAAACCGGAGCUAAUACCGGAUAAUAUAUUGAACCGCAUGGUUCAAUAGUGAAAGACGGUUUUGCUGUCACUUAUAGAUGGAUCCGCGCCGCAUUAGCUAGUUGGUAAGGUAACGGCUUACCAAGGCAACGAUGCGUAGCCGACCUGAGAGGGUGAUCGGCCACACUGGAACUGAGACACGGUCCAGACUCCUACGGGAGGCAGCAGUAGGGAAUCUUCCGCAAUGGGCGAAAGCUUGACGGAGCAACGCCGCGUGAGUGAUGAAGGUCUUCGGAUCGUAAAACUCUGUUAUUAGGGAAGAACAAAUGUGUAAGUAACUAUGCACGUCUUGACGGUACCUAAUCAGAAAGCCACGGCUAACUACGUG
This 497-nucleotide ribosomal RNA is filed under the name uncultured bacterium. Its description in RNAcentral is "partial 16S ribosomal RNA". It matches the Rfam family "Bacterial small subunit ribosomal RNA", at positions 28 to 507 of the family's 1533-position model. The record is from RNAcentral.